This is a small nuclear RNA of Ochotona princeps (American pika), 102 nucleotides long. The record is from RefSeq and is a predicted model, not a curated record. Lineage: Eukaryota; Metazoa; Chordata; Mammalia; Lagomorpha; Ochotonidae.
GUGCUCGCUUCGGCAGCACAUAUGCUAAAAUUGGAAUGAUACAGAGAAGAUUAGCAUGGCCCCUGCGCAAGGAUGACCCAAAUUAAAACUUUCCAUGUAUAU